UGGGCUUGAACCGCAGAUGAUCGUUAUAGAGAUAUAAUUUUUUGAGCAAUCAAACAUCUGUAG
Molecule: ribosomal RNA, 63 nt
Filed under: uncultured bacterium
Lineage: Bacteria
Description: partial 16S ribosomal RNA
Source: RNAcentral